RNAcentral lists this ribosomal RNA (515 nucleotides) under uncultured bacterium. Its description in RNAcentral is "partial 16S ribosomal RNA". It matches the Rfam family "Bacterial small subunit ribosomal RNA", at positions 28 to 523 of the family's 1533-position model. The record is from RNAcentral.
GAUGAACGCUGGCGGCGUGCCUAAUACAUGCAAGUCGAGCGAAUGGAUUAAGAGCUUGCUCUUAUGAAGUUAGCGGCGGACGGGUGAGUAACACGUGGGUAACCUGCCCAUAAGACUGGGAUAACUCCGGGAAACCGGGGCUAAUACCGGAUAACAUUUUGAACCGCAUGGUUCGAAAUUGAAAGGCGGCUUCCGCUGUCACUUAUGGAUGGACCCGCGUCGCAUUAGAUAGUUGGUGAGGUAACGGCUCACCAAGGCAACGAUGCGUAGCCGACCAGAGAGGGUGAUCGGCCUCACUGGGACUGAGACACGGCCCAGACUCCUACGGGAGGCAGCAGUAGGGAAUCUUCCGCAAUGGACGAAAGUCUGACGGAGCAACGCCGCGUGAGUGAUGAAGGCUUUCGGGUCGUAAAACUCUGUUGUUAGGGAAGAACAAGUGCUAGUUGAAUAAGCUGGCACCUUGACGGUACCUAACCAGAAAGCCACGGCUAACUACGUGCCAGCCGCCGCAGUAA